UGGGUCGGCUGGACGGUCGCGUCACGGGUUCGCCCGUGCCGAGGAACGUCCGGGCUCCACAGGGCAGGACGGUGGGUAACGCCCACCCGGAGCAAUCCGCGAGACAGUGCCACAGAGAGCAGACCGCCCGCGCUUCACGGCGCGGGUAAGGGUGAAAGGGUGGUGUAAGAGACCACCGGGGUCGUGGUGACACGACCCGCGAGGUAAACCUCGUCCGGAGCAAGGCCAGACAGGGGAUGACGACGCGGCUCGCCGAGUCCCCGGGUAGGCCGCUGGAGCGGCACGGCAACGUGUCGCCGAGAGAGAUGACCGUCCACGGGGCUCACGCCCCCGGACAGAACCCGGCGUACAGGCCGGCCCAUUCG
RNAcentral lists this RNase P RNA (365 nucleotides) under Microbacterium sp. CSI-V. RNAcentral describes it as "RNase P RNA component class A". It matches the Rfam family "Bacterial RNase P class A". From Rfam's summary of the family: Ribonuclease P (RNase P) is a ubiquitous endoribonuclease, found in archaea, bacteria and eukarya as well as chloroplasts and mitochondria. RNAcentral also lists the same sequence under 1 other name. Lineage: Bacteria; Bacillati; Actinomycetota; Actinomycetes; Micrococcales; Microbacteriaceae. The record is from RNAcentral.